CUACGUGCCAGCAGCCGCGGUAAUACGUAGGUGGCAAGCGUUGUCCGGAAUUAUUGGGCGUAAAGCGCGCGCAGGCGGAUUGGUCAGUCUGUCUUAAAAGUUCGGGGCUUAACCCCGUGAUGGGAUGGAAACUGCCAAUCUAGAGUAUCGGAGAGGAAAGUGGAAUUCCUAGUGUAGCGGUGAAAUGCGUAGAUAUUAGGAAGAACACCAGUGGCGAAGGCGGCUCUCUGGCUUGUAACUGACGCUGAGGCUCGAAAGCGUGGGGAGCAAACAGGAUUAGAUACCCUGGUAGUCCACGCUGUAAACGAUGAGUGCUAGGUGUUAGACCCUUUCCGGGGUUUAGUGCCGCAGCUAACGCAUUAAGCACUCCGCCUGGGGAGUACGACCGCAAGGUUGAAACUCAAAGGAAUUGACGGGGGCCCGCACAAGCGGUGGAGUAUGUGGUUUAAUUCGAAGCAACGCGAAGAACCUUACCAGGUCUUGACAUCCC
RNAcentral lists this ribosomal RNA (490 nucleotides) under uncultured bacterium. RNAcentral describes it as "bacterial SSU rRNA". It matches the Rfam family "Bacterial small subunit ribosomal RNA", at positions 501 to 990 of the family's 1533-position model. The record is from RNAcentral.